RNAcentral lists this ribosomal RNA (500 nucleotides) under uncultured bacterium. Its description in RNAcentral is "partial 16S ribosomal RNA". It matches the Rfam family "Bacterial small subunit ribosomal RNA", at positions 30 to 523 of the family's 1533-position model. The record is from RNAcentral.
AUUGAACGCUGGCGGAAUGCUUUACACAUGCAAGUCGAACGGCAGCACGGACUUCGGUCUGGUGGCGAGUGGCGAACGGGUGAGUAAUGUAUCGGAACGUGCCCAGUCGUGGGGGAUAACGUAGUGAAAAUUACGCUAAUACCGCAUACGAUCUAUGGAUGAAAGCGGGGGAUCGCAAGACCUCGCGCGAUUGGAGCGGCCGAUAUCAGAUUAGGUAGUUGGUGGGGUAAAGGCCCACCAAGCCAACGAUCUGUAGCUGGUCUGAGCGGACGACCAGCCACACUGGAACUGAGACACGGUCCAGACUCCUACGGGAGGCAGCAGUGGGUAAUUUUGGACAAUGGGCGAAAGCCUGAUCCAGCCAUUCCGCGUGCAGGAUGAAGGCCCUCGGGUUGUAAACUGCUUUUGUACAGAACGAAAAGGUUUCUACUAAUACUAGGAGCUCAUGACGGUACUGUAAGAAUAAGCGCCGGCUAACUACGUGCCAGCAGCCGCAGUAA